CCAAUGGCACUGCCCGGUAGCUAAAUGCGGAAGAGAUAAGUGCUGAAAGCAUCUAAGCACGAAACUUGCCCCGAGAUGAGUUCUCCCUGAGACUUUAGGUCUCCUGAAGGAACGUUGAAGACGACGACGUUGAUAGGCCGGGUGUGUAAGCGCAGCGAUGCGUUGAGCUAACCGGUACUAAUGAACCGUGAGGCUUAACCUUACAACGCCGAAG
Molecule: ribosomal RNA, 214 nt
Filed under: Salmonella enterica subsp. enterica serovar Oranienburg
Lineage: Bacteria; Pseudomonadati; Pseudomonadota; Gammaproteobacteria; Enterobacterales; Enterobacteriaceae
Also listed under: 3 other names
Description: partial 23S ribosomal RNA
Rfam family: Bacterial large subunit ribosomal RNA
Source: RNAcentral